UUGGCAAUUCAGAUGAUCGCUCUUUAUCGCAAGAUAAAGGGAGGAAAGUCGGGACACCCUGAGCCGAAAGGUUUAUAAAAAAGUAGCGGCUAACAGCCGUCGUCCGCAAGGACAGAGGUGCGAGCAGUGACGCUCCGACGCGAAAGUAUCGGAGGGACCCUAUCCCAAGCUAGAAGGUCCAACUCCGCGAUAGGGAUAAGAAAGCGGAGGUGAAACGGCUAAAUCCUUACUGGGUGCAAGACCGUACUCCAAUGCGGAGCAUUGGUUUGUGUCGCUUGAGCCCGCGAGCAAUCAAGGGCCCAGAUAAAUGAUCGCCGCCGCCGAUAACAAUCGGUGUGCACAGAAUCCCGCUUACGAAUUGCCGCAAAC
This 369-nucleotide RNase P RNA is filed under the name Candidatus Liptonbacteria bacterium GWB1_49_6. RNAcentral describes it as "RNase P RNA component class A". It matches the Rfam family "Bacterial RNase P class A". Rfam says of the family: Ribonuclease P (RNase P) is a ubiquitous endoribonuclease, found in archaea, bacteria and eukarya as well as chloroplasts and mitochondria. Its best characterised activity is the generation of mature 5'-ends of tRNAs by cleaving the 5'-leader elements of precursor-tRNAs. Cellular RNase Ps are ribonucleoproteins. The record is from RNAcentral. Lineage: Bacteria; Candidatus Liptoniibacteriota.